AUGACGCGUCGUCACGGCGACGAGCGAAGAGCUGCAGCACCGCUCAGCGAGAGACGAGCGCUCUCACCCUGUUAUAUACACUCUGUUAUAUACAGUGUGUUUAUAUACAGUGUGUUUAUAUACACUCUGUUAUAUACAGUGUGUUUAUAUACAGUGUGUUUAUAUACACUCUGUUAUAUACAGUGUGUUUAUAUACAGUGUGUUUAUAUACAGUGUGUUUAUAUACAGUGUGUUUAUAUACAGUGUGUUUAUAUACAGUGUGUUUAUAUACACUCUGUUAUAUACAGUGUGUUUAUAUACAGUGUGUUUAUAUACACUCUGUUAUAUACAGUCUGUUUAUAUACAGUGUGUUUAUAUACACUCUGUUAUAUACAGUGUGUUUAUAUACACUCUGUUUAUAUACAGUCUGUUUAUAUACAGUGUGUUUAUAUACACUCUGUUAUAUACAGUGUGUUUAUAUACAGUGUGUUUAUAUACACUCUGUUAUAUACAGUGUGUUUAUAUACACUCUGUUAUAUACACUCUGUUUAUAUACAGUGUGUUUAUAUACACUCUGUUAUAUACAGUGUGUUUAUAUACAGUGUGUUUAUAUACACUCUGUUAUAUACACUCUGUUUAUAUACACUCUGUUUAUAUACAGUCUGUUAUAUACAAUCUGUUAUAUACACUCUGUUUAUAUACACUCUGUUUAUAUACAGUGUGUUUAUAUACACUCUGUUAUAUACACUCUGUUUAUAUACAGUGUGUUUAUAUACACCCUGUUAUAUACAGUCUGUUUAUAUACAGUCUGUUUAUAUACAGUGUGUUUAUAUACACUCUGUUAUAUACAGUCUGUUUAUAUACACUCUGUUAUAUACAGUCUGUUUAUAUACAGUGUGUUUAUAUACACCCUGUUAUAUACACUCUGUUUAUAUACAGUGUGUUUAUAUACAGUGUGUUUAUAUACACCCUGUUAUAUACACUCUGUUUAUAUACAGUGUGUUUAUAUACACCCUGUUAUAUACACUCUGUUUAUAUACAGUGUGUUUAUAUACAGUGUGUUUAUAUACAGUCUGUUUAUAUACACCCUGUUAUAUACACUCUGUUUAUAUACAGUCUGUUUAUAUACAGCGUGUUUAUAUACACUCUGUUAUAUACACAGUGUUUAUAUACACUCUGUUAUAUACAGUCUGUUUAUAUACACUCUGUUUAUAUACACUCUGUUAUAUACAGUCUGUUUAUAUACACUCUGUUAUAUACACUCUGUUAUAUACAGUCUGUUUAUAUACACUCUGUUAUAUACACUCUGUUUAUAUACACUCUGUUUAUAUACAGUGUGUUAUAUACAGUCUGUUUAUAUACACUCUGUUAUAUACACUGUUAUAUACACUCUGUUUAUAUACACUCUGUUAUAUACAGGCUGUUUAUAUACACUCUGUUAUAUACACUGUUAUAUACACUCUGUUAUAUACAAUCUGUUAUAUACAGUCUGUUUAUAUACACCCUGUUAUAUACACUCUGUUUAUAUACAAUCUGUUAUAUACACUCUGUUAUAUACACUCUGUUUAUAUACAGUCUGUUCAUAUACACUCUGUUUAUAUACAGUCUAUGGUCUCACCCUGUUUAUGGUCUCACCGAGUCCUUUCACACGCUGUCUCCAGAUGA
Molecule: long non-coding RNA, 1644 nt
Organism: Scophthalmus maximus (turbot)
Lineage: Eukaryota; Metazoa; Chordata; Actinopteri; Pleuronectiformes; Scophthalmidae
Source: Ensembl